GACGAACGCUGGCGGCGUGCUUAACACAUGCAAGUCGAACGGAAAGGCCUCUUUCGGGGGGUACUCGAGUGGCGAACGGGUGAGUAACACGUGAGUAACCUGCCCUCGACUUUGUGAUAACUUCAGGAAACUGGGGCUAAUACCGGAUAGGAGCUCCUGCUGCAUGGUGGGGGGUGGGAAGUUUCGGCGGGUGGGGGUGGGCUCGCGGCGUAUCAGCUUGUUGGUGGGGUAGUGGCUUACCAAGGCGUUGGCGGGGAUCCGGCCUGGGAGGGUGACCGGCCAAAUUGGGGCUGGGAUACGGCCCAGGCUCCUACGGGGGGCAGCAGUGGGGAAUAUUGCCAAAUGGGUGGGAGCCUGAUGCAGCAACGCCGUGUGCGGGAUGACGGCCUUCGGGUUGUAAACCGCUUUCGCUCAUGACGAAGCUUUGUGUGACGGUAGUGGGUAAAGAAGCACCGGCUAACUACGUG
RNAcentral lists this ribosomal RNA (467 nucleotides) under uncultured bacterium. Its description in RNAcentral is "partial 16S ribosomal RNA". It matches the Rfam family "Bacterial small subunit ribosomal RNA", at positions 28 to 507 of the family's 1533-position model. The record is from RNAcentral.